UAGCGGCUAAUUGGCGCAUGCCGCCUCGCCAUAGUGCAGGCGGCUCCAUAAUGCAACCCUUGCCUUUUCUGAAGCACCAUUAUUUGAUCCCUCGGCGGCCUCGCCCGCCAGCAGGGACCUUGAAAACACUUGAAGUCCAAGCAUAGCCUUCUGAAAUAACCUAAAUCUCUUA
This 172-nucleotide unclassified non-coding RNA is filed under the name uncultured fungus. RNAcentral describes it as "sequence contains ITS1, 5.8S rRNA gene". Lineage: Eukaryota; Fungi. The record is from RNAcentral.